Molecule: long non-coding RNA, 572 nt
Organism: Pseudophryne corroboree (corroboree frog)
Lineage: Eukaryota; Metazoa; Chordata; Amphibia; Anura; Myobatrachidae
Exons: 3
Source: RefSeq, a predicted model, not a curated record
AGAAGACCUGCAAAACAUGCACUGUGUGGCGUGAUGAGGACCGAGUUUGCAGACCUAUGGCUUAGAAUAACAAAAGAUUGGAUCUGCUGCCAGUGUUCGUCAGAGCCAUACCAACUGACUCAGGGGGCACCACCAACUGGACAUUAUGAGGGGAUUCCACUUUGACUGACUAUUUUGGUAUAAUUGAUGAUCACCUAUAAUUAUCCUAGACUGGAGCGGAAUCACACAAGUUUUGUUACGAAGGUUCCACUUUCUGUCAGGACCCUGAAUAACCAGCCAGAAGACACAAGAUGGGCGCCUGUUCAAGUCGGCAGCACUGCAAUCAGAGACAUGCAGCCAAAGAAGUGAUGACUAAACUGGAAGCAGAAAACACAGGAAGAAACUUGUAUGGAGUCAUGAAGGAGUGUGCUACAUAUGGUAUAAUAGGAAUAGCUAACUGCACAAUUCAAGGGUGGCAGUUUAACUAAACAAUAAUUUAUUUUUUAUUACAUCAGAGAUAUCUGGAAAAUGCUCAUCUUCACUGUUUAUGUUACUGUUGCGCAUAUGGUCAAUUUAUAGUCCAAUUUGCUGGU